Oncorhynchus tshawytscha (Chinook salmon) is the source of this 592-nucleotide long non-coding RNA. Lineage: Eukaryota; Metazoa; Chordata; Actinopteri; Salmoniformes; Salmonidae. The record is from Ensembl.
GUCUCCGACAGGAAGUUUUGGAAGAGAGAUUUCCGAACAUGAUUUGAAGACGUGGAGCUAUUGAAUACACAUCGCCCUGUGAUCAAUUUGAUAGAUUAUUAACGUUUACUAAUACCUACAGUUGGAUUACAAAAGUAUUUCGAAGUGUUUUGUGAAAGUUUAUCGUCGACUUUUUUGAUUUAAAAAAAUGACGUAGCGUUUUCAAACAGUGUUUUUUUAUGGAUCACACAGUUUUCAUAGAUCGAUAUUUAGGGUAUAUAUGGACCGAUUUAAUCGAGAAAAAAAAGACCCAAUAGUGAUGUUUAUGGGACAUAUAGGAGUGCCAACAAAGAAGCUAGUCAAAGCUGUCGUCGUAUUGGAUUCCCUAUCAUUUCAACUUGAAAAUCCCUCUGAUAAUCUUUGGUCACUGUGAGGCGCAUCAUUCUUGAGAGCCACAAGCCACUGGCAGCAUUGGGAUAAAUCUUUGGACACACAGGAUGUACUUCAGACACCCAACAAUGCCGAAAUCUCUGUCAUUGGCAAGAGAAAGAGACCCAGGUAUCGAGGACACAGGGCUGGGUGCCUCGUAAGGAUCCGCAGACGGUGAGUGGAA